UACACACCGCCCGUCACACCAUGGGAGUUGGUUCUACCUGAAGACGGUGCGCUAACCGCAAGGAGGCAGCCGGCCACGGUAGGGUCAGGCGACUGGGGUG
Molecule: ribosomal RNA, 100 nt
Filed under: uncultured bacterium
Lineage: Bacteria
Description: partial 16S ribosomal RNA
Rfam family: Bacterial small subunit ribosomal RNA
Source: RNAcentral